GCAGUGGUGGUUCAGUGGUAGAAUUCUCGCCUCCUAUGCAGGAGUUCAUGUUCAAUUCCAGGCCAGUGCA
Molecule: transfer RNA, 70 nt
Filed under: Loxodonta africana (African savanna elephant)
Lineage: Eukaryota; Metazoa; Chordata; Mammalia; Proboscidea; Elephantidae
Rfam family: tRNA
About the family: Transfer RNA (tRNA) molecules are approximately 80 nucleotides in length. Their secondary structure includes four short double-helical elements and three loops (D, anti-codon, and T loops).
Source: Rfam by way of RNAcentral